Molecule: ribosomal RNA, 396 nt
Filed under: uncultured bacterium
Lineage: Bacteria
Description: bacterial SSU rRNA
Rfam family: Bacterial small subunit ribosomal RNA
Source: RNAcentral
GACGAACGCUGGCGGCGUGCUUAACACAUGCAAGUCGAGCGGUAAGGCCCUUUCGGGGGUACACGAGCGGCGAACGGGUGAGUAACACGUGGGUGACCUGCCCUCAGCUCUGGGAUAAGCCUGGGAAACCGGGUCUAAUACUGGAUAUGACUCCACGACGCAUGUUGUGGGGUGAAAGCCUUGUGCGGCUGAGGAUGGGCCCGCGGCCUAUCAGCUUGUUGGUGGGGUGAUGGCCUACCAAGGCGACGACGGGUAGCCGGCCUGAGAGGGCGACCGGCCACACUGGGACUGAGACACGGCCCAGACUCCUACGGGAGGCAGCAGUGGGGAAUCUUGCGCAAUGGGCGAAAGCCUGACGCAGCGACGCCGCGUGAGGGAUGACGGCCUGGUUGUAAC